Molecule: ribosomal RNA, 864 nt
Filed under: uncultured archaeon
Lineage: Archaea
Description: SSU rRNA
Rfam family: Archaeal small subunit ribosomal RNA
Source: RNAcentral
AACCAGCACCUCAAGUGGUCAGGAUGAUUAUUGGGCCUAAAGCAUCCGUAGCCGGCUCUGUAAGUUUUCGGUUAAAUCUGUACGCUUAACGUACAGGCUGCCGGGAAUACUGCAGAGCUAGGUAGUGGGAGAGGUAGACGGUACUCGGUAGGAAGGGGUAAAAUCCUUUGAUCUAUUGAUGACCACCUGUGGCGAAGGCGGUCUACCAGAACACGUACGACGGUGAGGGAUGAAAGCUGGGGGAGCAAACCGGAUUAGAUACCCGGGUAGUCCCAGCUGUAAACUAUGCAAACUCAGUGAUGCAUUGGCUUGUGGCCAAUGCAGUGCUGCAGGGAAGCCGUUAAGUUUGCCGCCUGGGAAGUACGUACGCAAGUAUGAAACUUAAAGGAAUUGGCGGGGGAGCACCACAAGGGGUGAAGCCUGCGGUUCAAUUGGAGUCAACGCCAGAAAUCUUACCCGGAGAGACAGCAGAAUGAAGGUCAAGCUGAAGACUUUACCAGACAAGCUGAGAGGUGGUGCAUGGCCGUCGCCAGCUCGUGCCGUGAGAUGUCCUGUUAAGUCAGGUAACGAGCGAGAUCCCUGCCUCUAGUUGCCACCAUUACUCUCAGGAGUAGUGGGGCGAAUUAGCGGGACCGCCGCAGUUAAUACGGAGGAAGGAAGAAGCCACGGCAGGUCAGUAUGCCCCGAAACUCUGGGGCCACACGCGGGCUGCAAUGGUAACGACAAUGGGUUUCGAAUUCGAAAGGAUGAGGUAAUCCUCAAACGUUACCACAGUUAUGACUGAGGGCUGCAACUCGCCCUCACGAAUAUGGAAUCCCUAGUAACUGCGUGUCACUAUCGCGCGGUGAAUACGUCCCUGCUCCU